RNAcentral lists this unclassified non-coding RNA (23106 nucleotides) under Leishmania donovani. RNAcentral describes it as "gene:LdHU3.10.0870(CDS-product:hypothetical_prote in_conserved)". The record is from RNAcentral. Lineage: Eukaryota; Euglenozoa; Kinetoplastea; Trypanosomatida; Trypanosomatidae.
GCAUGAUCUCUCCCACUGCGCUGGGUCACUUGUCGUCCCCCCUUCUUUCAUAUUCCUUUUCCAUCCCCUCUCUCUCCCUUCAUCUAAAUCCCAUCCCACCCCUCGUCCCCACGAAACCAACAGAGAAGACCUUGCUCGUAAAAAGCGCUCGGCGGCCACAAGCACGCCAGCACGCAUGAAGCCUCGUUGGGGAUUUUGUACGUGAACGCAGAGCAUAACAUCGUUUAUACACAGAGUCCUGCGGGUCAGAAACAGCACAGCGAGGCAGUACGGUGGGCGACUCUUGGGACGUGGUUGAAAAUCCGCCUUUUGUAUAGCUUGUUUUGUUUUUGUUCGCUGUCGUCGUCGCGUCUUCCACUGCGCGUGCGUGGGUGGAGGGCGGUGUGUGUGUGUGUGUGUGUGUGUGCGCCCUCGGCUCAUCAUUGGCAUUAGCCUCCUCUAUCCGCACACCCAUAUUCCUUUCAUCGCCCACGCCAAACCCUACACGCACGCUUUCCUAUUUCUUUGGUAUUCGUUUUCUCGGCGUGCUCGGUACCUCGAGGCAUUUCGAGUACUUUCAUACACGCCACCCUCCUGCAUGUCAGCGGCAAAGGGCAGGCGAGGGGGGGCAGAUAUCCACGCAGAACCCACGACGCCGGCUUUCACCGCUCCCCUCCCACCUUGAUCAUCUUCUUUCCCUUGUCAUUGCCUGCCUGUGCAAGUCUGAGCGGUUGCUGCGUGCCCGCACAAGGAGACGAGGAUAGGAAGGUGGAGCCGACGCCGGUGUGGAUGUGAGGCUAACGAAAGAAGGAACAAGAAGAUCCGCACCUCCGCACGCACAAGCAUCCAUCCGCUAUCGCUGUGCGUGUGUGAGAAACCCCAGCACGUCGAAGUGGUGGCGGCAACACCAACGACAACCGAAGCCCCGCCACAAUUCUCACGCGCAUCGCCGAACUGAGGCGAGCAGAUACCCAUUGCAGGACAAGGACGGGGGUGGGGGGCAGGCUUGAAACUAUAAUGGCGCUGGCAUUCGAUGGCCGUCGUGCCAGAUGGCGACGAAACGGUCGAUUACUGUCGCUGCUCCUCGCAUGCCUAUGCGCUGCACUUGCGGUAGUGGCACCGGCGUGUGUAGCCAUAACUUUCUCCAUGGCCAACGUGCAGCAGCCGUCAGUAUACCAAACGAUUCAGAUCACCUUGGAGUCGAACCCCUUAGCGCAGGACCCGAGCAUCACCACCAGCGACCUCGUUUUCUUUGUUCCAUCGGACGAUAUCAAAAAAUGCGUGUACAGCAGCACCCCGACAGAGAGCACCCCCGGCUACCACGCCGUCAAGGCCACCGGCAGCGGCGGCUUUACUGGCCAGCUCAUCCUCGCUGUGACUUCGACGGAGUUCACCACAGGGACGACGUACUACCCGUGCUACCUCUCGAGGUCAGAAAAGUCAGCGACGAUUGUGCGGCGCGGCUAUGUGUCCCCAGGCUCGGACGACACGCUGGCGGUGUUGCCCCCCAUCUACACAAGCUUUAGCAUGAGCCCCACGAGCGCCAACGGUGGCGAAGGACCUGUGAGCCUUACCAUCGUGCAGGCAGAGCACAGCGAUCGCCCGAUCAACCAGGGCCUGUCGGGAGGCCACACCAUCCUGCUUGUGCCAUGCGGGAGCAUCUCCGUGAGCGGCAGCACUGUGGAGAGCAACUGCGACGAUCUGAACACGCUGGUGACGCCGUGCGCCACGGUAGGUGCGGCCAGCGAAACCCCGACCGGCGUCGUCGCCCUCUCCGGCUUGCAAGGCCAGUCCACCGGGAAGGUGUCCGGCAACUUCACAGUGCCCUACAAACCCAACACGAGCGGCUACUACAUGUGCGUCCCGUACUGCUAUAGUGCCUCUGCCGGCUGCGGCGAGUCAACGACGGCCAUGUCCUUCACAGUCGUGGCAUCCGCUUCAGCUGAAAGCAGCAGCUACGUACUCACCUUCGGCGGCGCUAAUCCGGGCGUGUACAGCAGGACGCCGGUGCUUCCGCAGGCGCGUGAGAACGGUCUCAUGUACUUCACCGGCGCCGGUCUGAGCGCGAGUGACGCCGUCAAAGUUAUUCGCGCCCACGACAUGUGCACUUCCACCACGGCAGCGCUGCUCCCCAACCUCGAGGUCGGGGCGCUGCAGCUGGCGGCGGAAACCGACGGCAUGACCACGGCGCAGGUUCUGUUUGUAGCGCCGGACCUUGUGGCGACGCAGGUGGUGGGACGCGUCUGCUACCAGCGCGCCGCCAGCGGUCUGUGGUCUACCGCAUACCUCUCCGCCUUGAAUGCGGAGGCGGAUUUUACCAUCGACAUUCUGCAGCCAACCGAAUUCGAACUCACGAGCUCGAGCACGAGCCCCGCCGUCGGCGAGACUCUGACUCUGGCCUUUCGAGGAGACGGUCUCGACGGGUCCGUAGACAAGGCUUACCUCUCCUCCAGCAGCGACGGCAACCCGUGCAACCGAGACGCAAGUGGAAGCUCAUCGAGCAGCAGCAGCAGCAGCAGUGGCUCAGAGACGUACAAGCGUAACAUGUACUUUACGUGCAAGAUGAGCGGAAGCAGCACCACGACCUCCACGUGUACUGUCAUGGUCGAUCCCGAGGACACGAAUGCGGCCAUGACUCUGAGUGUGUGCUACCUGAAGGGUGGCAGCAGUGGGCAGACGAACUUCGCGCAGGUCCACGGCACUGUGGCACUCCAGGCACGAAACCCGACCUAUGCCGUCACUCCAUACCCCAUGUUUGCCGGCCAAUCGGUGAAGUUGGCCUUCACGGGCGUGAGCCUGCAUGCGGAUGACGAGGUGCGGCUGAUCGCGCCGAGCGGGACGUGCGAUGACAGCAGCUCCAUCUUGGCCACCGCCACCAUCCACUCCGUAGAGGAAAUCGUCCAGAAUGUGGUGUACCAGUACACCCUGGUCGGCUCCGCCGAGACGUGCAUCAUGGUCUGCUACCGUCAUUUGGGGUCAGACAUGUGGGUCGUGGCGCGGGGCGCCGACGGAAGGCCUGCCGUGUCGUCGGUCUGUGCAGCGUCUAACAUUUACAUCUCAGCCUUUCCGGUGCGGUACCGCAUCACAAACCUGGGCACAGGCGGCAGCGACGGCUCCACUGCCGGUACUCUCCUCACUGUUGGCGAGACCGCGACAGUGCGCUUCACUAUCACAAGUGCCCAGAGGUUCUCCUCCACCACUACGCCGACCACCAUAAAGGUGGUGCAGGCGGCAGAUACAUGCGUGACAACGCCCUGCGGCACGGAGAACGUUGCCGCGUGCGCCAGAGCACAGCGUGCUGCCGAUUACACCGACUCCAUUACGAAAACGAGCAGCGCUGCAUUCACUGCCUCCAUCCAGGUGAAUGGGGCAGACGUAAACUACAUUGUGUGUGUGGAAACCUCUAGUAGCUCGGGGGCGUACGUGCCGGUCCUGCCCACCUCAGAGACGUCGUCGACCAGCACUGCUUUCGGCUUCAUCACAACGCAACAGAACCCAACGCUUGUGUCGCACACCCCGAACACGUGGCGAGUGGCCAUGAGCACGCUUUACACAACCUUCAGGGGGUCAAACCUGGACGCGAAGACGAACGUGGUGUACGCCGUCGCGGCCAGCGCGCUACUGGCCUUCUACACGGCAAGCGAAGGCACCGUAGUGGCAGUGUGCCCGCCAGUGCCGCAGACGCCGGAGACUGUGCUUGUGUCCGCCAUGGUCACAAACAGCAGCAGCAGCAGUAACUUAGCGAUGGUGACGUACACCCGGGCAGACCGUCUGCACGACGGCCAAUACGUGUACCUAUGCUACGCAUGGUCGGCUGGCAGCGGUGACUCGCACAUCACGAUGGCGGGCAGGGUGAGCGUGGCAGCAGCGAUCCCGUCCUCCUCCGCAUGGCAGGCGCCCACAGAAACGAGCAACUUGCGCGCCGGGCAGCCGAUUCAACUCAGCUUCACCAGCAACCUCACAAGCCUGUCCGCCAUGAAGGACGCCGUCUACUUCUACAGCUAUGUUCAGUCAUCGAAUCCGAACCCGAACUGCUACUGUGACCCGACGGCGUGUGCGACCGGGAUGCGGAUCGCCUACACUUCCAAUAUCACCCUCACCUCGGCGACGACGAGCAUAAAGGACGACACCACGAUCUACACCGCUCCGCUCGGCUUCAGCAACUACGACUACGGUGCCAUCUACAUCAUCUGCUACGCCACCUUUGGGCAGGCUGCCGACACCUACAUGGGCCGUGUAACGGUGGACCUGGCGAACCCGACGUACUACACCGUCUCCAGUGUGGCCGCACCUUUAAACCGCGUCGGCGCGCCGAUCACCAUUACGGCGAUUCGCCGCUGCAUGACGGCGGCGUGUGCGCUGACGCUGCAGGACUCACUGCGCUUGAUUCCGAGCAGCGUGCAGUGCUCUCAGCUCUCGUCCGACAGCUCCAGCGGCAGCUCUUCAGCUGCGGAGGAGGCGUCUGUGCAGGCCAUUCGCGACCCCGUCCUGAACCCUGGCGCGGUCUCACUUACGCGCACCUUUGUUGUUGACGCCGAGGGAACUUACCGCGUGUGCUACCGCCUCGCGAGCGGGACCACCUACAGCGAUGUCGUCUUCUCGACCAGCUACACGCGCUCUUUGCUGACGGCUGUGACGGCGAAUCCGCAGAAGGCCACGCCGGUGCCAAGCGUCCCCUCCGCCGGGCAGUUUGUCAUCAUGAAUCUCAGCUGCACGAUGGUGUCACUCUGCAGCACGUGUACGAUGCUGCGGCUGGUGCCGGGGGUGCGCGCGAGCUGCUGGGAAAAGGUGUCAGGGACCUACAGCAGCGACUCGUGUCUGACGACCACCUCUGUGCAGUACCCAGACCUGUACUUAGUGGAGGGCAGCUAUACGGUGUGCUACGGUAGCAACUACACGACGUCGCAUCGCGUUCCGGGCACCCUUACGGUAACCUCCGCGAACCCGUCGAGCUACACCCCGACAGAGUCGAGCGGGUACGCCGUGUACACAAAUCAAGCCACGGACUACACGCUGGGCAUCACCGGCACGGGGCUGGCCACCGCCGACACCGCAUUUCUGCUGCCGGACAUGGGGUACACCUGCCACGACCUCCGCACUGGUGAGGUGCAGAGCCAAGGGAAGCUCGCAAGCUGGCUCCAGCCGAGUGUGAAGCCGUAUCCGCUGCAGCUGACCUCGACCGGGGUGUCGUGGGUGGUGUCGAAUCAAAGUAAGCGCUUCGGCGGCGGCUUGCUUAACGACGCAGACCUGUGCCCGGGUAACGGGGCGCCGUGCUUGCUGAAGUUGUGCUACAUGCGCUCCGGUACUUCCUGGGCGCCCGUCACUCUGCUGGCCUCCUCCUCCUCCUCGUCGACGUCGUCGUCGUUGUCGUCAACGCCGUCUGGGAUCGAGCUGUUUGCCUCGAACCCGUCCUCGGUGGAGCUGGAUCGCUACCCGCUGGCGAUCGGCAUGUAUGUGAUGGCGACGGUGCAGGGCGCUGGUCUUUUGAGCACGGACAUGGUCACCAUCAACGCAGGCGACUGCAGCGGCGCCGCUGCGACCGUCUCCGUGGCGGGCGCCGUAUACGUGAACGACGCGGGGAAGCAGUGGUAUGGUGUGCUGCGCGUGAAGAGUGCCGCGAGCAGCUACGCUGUGUGCUACUGGCGCUCCGGGUCGGCGACCGAGGUGGCGGCCAUCACCUUCGCCGAUGCGACGGAUGUGUCGACGAUACUGAUACUCAGCACGCCGCUUUAUUACGUCCUGAGUCCGUCCAACUUUACUUCGAUGCAUACACCGCUGACAAGGUACGAGGAGCUCAUCGUCAGCGCCAGCUUCAUGGACCAGGGUACCUUAGGGACAGCGCUGAGCUACGUGCAGCUCAUCACGGCUGACGCGAGCGUCUCCGAGUGCAACUACGGGCCCUUUCAGUCGGUGGCGAGCGGCGUCACGCCGUUCCCGGUUUCUCUGACGCUCUCAUCUGUGCCAGGCAGCGGUGCCUCCGGUUCACUGACCCUGUACCAGGGUCGUCUCACCGUCGAGACAGGGGCGUAUGCCCUGUGCAUGAACACAACGAUUGGGUUGUUCCGCGUCUUCAAGGCUCCGCCCAGCGCUGCGUAUACCACGGAGGGCAGCAGCGAGGUCUUGGUUUACGACGCCGUGCCCAUCGCAUACACCGCGGUCCCCAAAAGCGUGAUGUUGGGGCAAGUUGUGGCGCUGACGUUCUCCAGUAUGUCUGCGAGCAGCAGCGACAGCGAAAUAGAUCAGGCCCCGGCCAAGCUGGAGGCAGGUGACUCGGUGCAGAUUAUCGACGGCACGUUGUACGAGUGUGGUUUUCCGAACGCGACUGUGCUGGCGGCCGGCGUCGUGUCAGCGAGUGGAAGCAGCAUGGGCUCGACCACGGUCUCUCUCGCCCUCCCCAGCGCCUACAAGCUAGACGGCGUGGGAGUGUCGGCGGGGGGGAAGAACUAUACAGUUUGCUACCGGAAGCAGAAGAGCACCUUCGCCACAUCCCCGCGCAUCGGCAGCGCCGUCGACCGCAACUUUCGCAUCAUGGCGGAGGUGCCGACCAAGUGGACAACGCAGCCUCAGCAGGCCCAGGUGAACGCACCACUCAACAUCACCUUCUACGGGGACCUUGAAGAGGAUGACUUCCUGACAGCAGCCGAUGUGGCGUUUCUCGUGUCCGUGCCCGAUGGCGCUGAGCCGGACUUCAGCCUGUGCCAUGUGACGGCAGAUAGCAGCAGCAGCGGCAGCAGCAGUGCGAGUGCGGGCCGCAUCGUUAUCUCUCAAGGCGCCAUGACAAAGCCGGACAACGUCAACACGCAGUGGUCCAUUCCGGCCAACGUGCUUCUGGAAAGCACCUACGUCGUCUGCUACACAGCCAAGAAUAACGGGCAGCCGGUGUACGUCAGCUCGCCGGCGACGCUGGUCGUGUACCCGACGCAGUCGCCGAGUGGCGCCUACCUUGCCCGCAGUGCCACGUCUAUCGUGAACGACCUCACCGCGUUACAGGGCGAACGUGUGUUUCUGCUCUUCAACACGACCGUGGCGCUGGAUGUAGUGCUUGACAACGGCCAGAGCUCGAGCUCGACCCCGUCCCUCGAGAACUACGACGCGGUUCGCAUCACAGCGGACAGCGCCUGCAGUGCGCCGCUCGGUGCCGGCGUCAUUGACCCGAUUCCUACGGAUUUCGGUUACGCGCCCCCCGGCAUCGUGGAUGAGACUACCGGUCUUACGGUGCCGUACCUGAACCUGCGCAUCCGCGCCGAAGUGGGCAGCUACUACGUCUGUAUGCGCCGCCGCAAUCGUGAGAGCUGGCAGGCCUACUACGAGUUUGAGGUGGUGGGCGGGCUGUACGUGGGCCCGGCCGUGCUGAGCAUAUCGGCUGCCGCUGUUUUGACGUUUACGACGACGCCGACGACACCGCGGGCGUGGGUGCCGCACACGGAGGUGCAGGCAAACUACAACGCUGACUUCAGUAUGGCGAACGUGGUGCAGUUCUUCUUUGUGGCCUACACAGGUACCGGCAGCGUGACGGACAGCGACGAGAUCAACGGUGACUCCUGCUACCGCCCCGCCUCUUCGUCGGAGGCGGCGUCGGCCUCCGUGACACUUGUGAACCGCACGCUGCAGGUUUACCUCGUAGACCCUAUGUUCACGCAGCACAGCUUUGGUAUGGCGGGCACGUACCUGCUGUGCUACCAGAUCACGGGCCACAACAUCGCCUCCAUCUACCCGACUGCCUUGACAGUGGCCGACCCGAGCCCGACUGCCUACAUAGUGCCCAGCCUGCUCUCUGUUCAGCACGCCUUCACAAUGAGCAUCGUCGCGACGGACGCCAUCUUCGCCACCGGCGCCAGCAACGUCGCGCAGAUAUACACCGCGACUGACGCGACCGUGAUGCCGAACUGCACAGAGGCGAGUGUGCCGAGUGGUGGCACGACGCGCUUCACGAAGUUUACCCAGACGAACGCGUCUUACGCAAGUGUGGAGCCGACGCUCCUGGCGCCGGGCUACUACUUUCUGUGCUUCCUGACGGACGGCCAGAAGAAAGACUUCGUCGUUCCGAACGCUGCAGGCGGCUACGUCUUUUCAGUCGGACUGGUAGGCGCGCAGAAGUAUACGGUGACACCGUCGCCGGCCUACCUCGGUCAACUCCUGGAUAUCAAGAUUACGGGUAGCCAACUGAGCAGUAGCGACCACGUCAAGCUCUUGCGCGUCUCGCACGACGAACUGAGCAGCAGCGGCAGCACCACGAGCAGCGGAGGGAGCUACGUGGCCCAGUGCACACCAAACUCGGAGAACGCCGACGCCAGCGAGGCAGCCGGGGCAGCGGGCAGCACCGUGCAGAGCUCGAGCGGCACUGUGGCGCACUAUCACCCCCGUGUUAACGAGACUGGCACGUUCAUUCUGUGCUAUCAGAGCUCCUUGUUGAGCAACGCAUGGGUCUGGGUGAUGGACAUUCAUCAGUUCACCGUCGGCUUGGCGCACCCCACGCACUACAGCCUCUCCGUGGCAACGCCGUACGAGACCCAGGUGCUCCUGCUCUACAUCCACGACAGCGGCGACGACGGCAGUGGCACGGCAGGACGAUUGCAGGACACAGAUCAACUGAAGCUGGUGGAGCGCGGCUCAGGAGCGAACGGCUUUGAUUGCGCGGCGGGCGCCACCAACAGUAGCGUCAUUGGCCUGAUCAGCUACGUGAGUGCGCAGAGCAACAGCAGCGUGCACGUGUACCAGAUCUGCGGCUCCGCCGUGGCGAGCGUGACGGUCUGCUACGCGCUUUCAGGGGCAACGGCGGCGUCACCGGGCUGGGCGGAGGUGCCGCUUCAGUCCCCGCCGCCGACGUACAUCUUCGAGGGGGUGUCGAUCGAAGCGAACCCGUUUGUGGGGCCGCUGCGCAGCUCAAGCAGCAGCGCCUCGGGGACCGCUACCGGCUGGGUGGCACCGCGUCCGUACGAGCCUUUUUCGUUCUACUUCACAACGGAGGCAGCGGGGCUGGAGGCGCAGCGCGUGGCCUUCGCACAGUCACCGGUGACCUUGUGUGCCCUGGACGUGAGCUACGUGGCACCGCUGCUCUACCAGAAGGAUCCGGAGCAAGCGAGCGAGUUCACCGUGUCGCUGCCGUACGCGGGCAACUACGCCGUAUACAUCGGUCCUUACGCCGCCGUGACGGCGCCGAACAUUACGCAUGGCACGCCGCUCUUGGUGGGGCAGUGCGAUCCGUGCAACUUCACGCCGAGCUACGCACUGGUCGGCACGUACGUGCUGCUGUCCUUUCCCAGCAGUGUUGGCGACUCCCUCGGCGACGCAGACGAAGUGCGGCUCUUUCCGGUGUCCCAGGGGCUGAAAGGGCGACCGUGUGAGGCAACAACAGGGGCGUACGCCGGUGUCACGCUCACGCCCGACUCGGCGUUGAGCACGAGCAGCAUGACCGUCUUCAACGUGACCACCGGCGCGGAGGCGGAAGCGAAGUACCUGGGCGAGUAUUACGUGUGCUACCGCAAGGUGAGCGCGUCCUCCGCCAGCGCUGGCAGCUCGACAGCCACGUUUGCGGUCGUGUCCAAGAACGACGGCGCGGCCUCCAUCUUCUCCGUCUACCCGGCCGACCUCCUCACGGCAACGGUGUGCCCUGCUUCGUCGAUGUACGCGCUCGAGACGGCCGUGUUCAACGUGACGGCGCGCGACACGGCACUGUACCCGAACGUGGCCUUCAGUUCCUCGGAUGUGUUUGUCGUCGUGCCGUCUGAUGUGCUGAGCAGCACCGUCGGCGGAGGCUGCGGCAGCAUCACUGACGUGGACGCUCUCGUAGAAGCCUCUGGCGGUCGUGCGCAGCUGGCGAAGCUGGACACGUACGGCAACGGAUACUCGAACUGGUACCUCACCUUCGCGACGCAGAUGACUACGGUUUACUACAGCUGGUGCUUCAAGAUGCAAUACGACACACUCUUUCGCAACAUCUCAAGCUCGCUACAAACGGUGCUCAUGGAAAACCCCUACAAGGUGAUCACCACCCCGCCGGUCAUCCUGCCAACCUCGAGCCCGGUGCUGAUCGACAUCAAGGGCUCUGAGAUGCUGCCAACGGACCAGGUGUAUAUUGUUCCUGCCAAUCAGUCGUGUUCGGAGACAUGCAGCCUACCACUAAAGCCGACAGAGUGGCCCGACGUCGCGCACACCGCCCAGCACGUGAACUCGACGACGGCGCUGGUGACCUUUUCGAAGCCCAUCGACGUCACCGUCUCCCUCGGCGUGUGCUACCGCCGCACCGGCCGCUACCUAACGCGGUUGGCGAACAUCACCGUCAUGGAGUCGAACCCCACCUCCUACACGGUCAACUUCGUGCCGCGCGUCGGAACGCGGCCGACGUUGGUGUUCACUGGCGAGGACCUGACAGGCACAGACACGAUAAUGAUUGUGAAGCCCGGCGUCACCUGCCUUGAGGGCAACGCCGUCGCCACCGGCACAUUUGUGUCAGUCAGCGAAGACGCAACGACGAGUCAGUUCCUUCUUGCGCUGGUCGGCAAUGCAGUGCUUGCGCAGAACUACAUCGUGUGCUACGAAGUAUCGACCGUCGGCGCCUAUGUGGAGGUGUCGCCUGUGCUGCAGGUGCUGGAGGGCGGUCCGUCGAGCGUCCUGUCAAGCAACACCCCGAUGCGUGGCCGUGCGACUGUGCUGACAGUGGCGGACCCGCAGGUAGGGGACGAGAUGUACAUUGCGUGCGUCGGAUGCAGCUGCUUCGACGAGGUUGAGGCUGCCGUGCCGUACGGCAGUGUGCGCGCGACGGCGCACGUCCUGGAGGGCAGCACCUCGAGCGCCUCCGACGUCGUCUCCAUCUCGCUGCGCGUCGGCUUCAACGAUACGAAGAGCUACCCGGUUUGCUACCGCCGCAGUGACAGCGGAUACGCGCAGAUUGGCGGCACCGCCUACUUCGUCACCCCGGUGCCGAACUCGCCGAGCGCGGUGGCGCAGCUUCCCGCCUUAGCGCAGUACCAAGGCCAACGACUGUACUACAACUUUUCAGACUACACCGCCGCCGUGCCGCUCGGUAGCGGCGACCUUGUCAUGCUGGUGCAGGCAGCUCGCACCUGCUGGGACAACGUGGAGAUGAACGCGAGCGGUGUGGUGGUGCAAACAAGUGAGCUGACGGGCACUGUCGAGUCCCUCAGCAUUGGCAGAUGGGAAGCGCACGUGCCCUCUCUGGGGCCCGAUGUGCCAUCUAACGCACCCGCGCUGUUCCCGCUCUCCUACCUGCUGUGUUACCGCGAGGUCGCGCAGCUGGAGUACGUGAGCGUGCCGCUUGAGAUGCAGACGACGGUGAUAAAGGCGGCCGACCCGGCUACCUUCGAAACGAAUCCGAAGACCGUGGAGAAGGGUAUGUUGGAUGUGAACAUGAUGUUUAGCUACACCGACACAGGGAAGGAGGGCGACGAGGCGUACGUGGUGCAGUUCACGAGCCUCACGAACACGGUAUGCGACGACGCCAGGUCCACGCUCGUCUCAGCGCGCGGAAGAGCGCACCCGGUGUACAUACUGAACAUGUCUGGCGGUGCCGUUGUGGGCAACGACAACACGGCCGUGUGCUACACCCGCGCCGGCGCAACAGUGGCCGAGGUGCCGCAGCUGCUUACAGUGGCCGAGAGCAAUCCAAGUGGUUACCUGACGAACGUGACGACUGGGUCGGUGGCGCGCGGGCGGCAGUACAUCGAGUUCGUCAUCGUCGGCUCCGGCCUGAACGUUAUGAGUGACGAAGUCGUUUUCACCGACGUGCCGUGUGCGAUGGCGCCGCGCCCGUUCAAAUCGAGCGGCCACCUCGCGCGCCUCGGCGACGCCGCCGCCAACGGCACGACGUACAGUGUUGUCACUCAGUUUGUUUCGCUGAUGAGCCCGAUCGACGUCUACGUGUGCUACCAGCAUAACGCCGUGUGGCGCGAGGUCGGCGCGGCGCUGACGCUGAACGCGCCGCAGCCCCUGACGGUGUUGGUGAUUUCUGCAGAUGGGACGCAGACAACGCCCCGCGCGGGGCAGCACCUGCACUUGCAGUUGAUCGAUGGCAUGCCGACGGUGCCGAUUGGUGCCGUGGUUCUAAGCGCAGAGACGACGGGGGAAGGAACGUGGUGCCACAACUUCACGGCUGCGAACGUGCAAGAGCCGGCGCUGGAUAUAUUGUCGGAGGCGAUACUGGACGUGUCGGUGUGGCAGGUGUCCGGGCACGCGCGGUUGUGUGUCCGCUAUGACGACGGCACGCCGUGGGCCGACGUGGCCACUAGCGUCGAUGCCACCAGCAUCUACAUUAACCCGGCAAACCCGUCCGCUAUGGACGUCUUUCCGAGUCCGCCGCGAGUCGGGCAGAGCGUCACGCUGACGUUCCACCUGUUGGUGCCGUCGAACGCAGGGGAUAUGGUGAAGAUCACGGCGCCGACUUACGAGGCGUGUGAGAUGGCCGCAAGCAUCAACGGCUUCCCCCCUGUCAUGCCCGUCACGGUGAAGGACAGCGCGACGACGACGCUCACGCUCGUCGACUCGACAGAUCCGCUGCUGUAUCGCAGCUUCAACGCUACUGGGACGUACCGACUGUGCUACUACAGCGCGGCAGAGCUGUCGUGGGGAGUGGUGGGUGGCACGCUCGCCGCCGGUUCCGUCACGGUGGAGGAGCUGGUGCCGCAGUCGUGGGUCAUCGCCUCUGGCCACACCGAGAUCGGGUACGAGUUCGCCCUAGCCUUCCACGACGAGCUCAGCAUUCUAAAGCCAAGUUCUGGCAAUGACCUUGUGUGGGCGGCGCCGUCCAGUGUGAGCUGCGGCGCGAACCCGUACAUGUGCAGAGGAUGCAUUAUUUUCGAGUGGAACGCGUCGCUGUCGAACUCCUCCACGGCCGUGACGGCCGCCAACGCCACGGUGAGUGUGGACUACAUGAACCUCUGCUACCGCCUCGCCGAGGCUACGGCAGCGCUGGUUGCUGGCUCGCUGAACAUUACGACAGGCCCCAUCCAGUGCGUGGAGGAGGACUCCUUCAUCUCAGGCCAACAGCAGCUGAUUACGUUCCGGCUGGAUGCCGGCACCGACGUCACGGACGACAGCUGGCGCCUCUCCUUCUACGCAACCACCGCGUUGCACUGCAACGAUCGCUACCUCGAAGGCUUUAUCCCGGGGUCAGCGCGGCUGCAGGAGGUGACGAGCACGUCGGCGACGUAUUUGGUCUUGUGGCCGGUCGGACUGGGUGUCACGACCAGAGAGUACACGAUCUGCUACACCCAUAACAAUCUGGUGGGUCCAGUGUGCACGUGCGGGCAGAUCGACGCGAACACCGGCGAGUGCUACAUCACUGGCUCACCAGGGUCGCCACAGAGCUUUACGCCGUCGCCGCAUCCGACCUACGUGGGGCAGUCGAUCACGCUCAACUUCACGGUGAACGCGUCCAUGACGGCCUACCCGCCCACUGCCAUCAAGUUUGUCACGUACGUGGACGAACUUACCGGCUGCGACGGCGCCCCGGCCUUCACGCCGGUCGGGGCCACCCUCACGAAGAUCAGCGCACUUCUGUACAUGUAUGUCUUCAAGCACAACUACACCCUCGGCACCGCCACGCUGCUGGUGUGCGCGCUUACAGACUUGUCGACCUCGUACGGCCGCGUUGCCUCGGUAGUCGUGCCCUCGUCGCCAACGACGAACAACACGCUGUGGAUUCGGCCCUACCUCGGCCUCACCACGUUCCCGUCCGAGGCGGACUAUUUGCGCUCGAUGCAGACGCUAAACCUGACCUUCACGAUGGCGAGCCGGCAAGAGGACGAUGUGGUGAGCAAGCACGACCGCAUCACCGUCGUCGGAGACCCGAACAACUGCAUCGAGUCCUACAUCAGCGCUCAGGACCCGUUGACGCUCAUGAGCAUGUUCUACCUUCCCGACACGGCCUUCCUGGCGCUGCCGGCGACGGUGCUGAGCGUCAGCGUGUCGCUGUUCCUCACCCGGUCCCUCGCAACCUUCGCUGCCAGCACAGCCAGUCAAGGCACGCACUACUUCUGCUACAAGUUGGGAGACGGUACGUGGGCGCCGAUUCUACCGAAGCUGACCAUACAAGAAGCGCUCAUCGGUAGUUGCUCCGUCACAGGCGCGCUGAGCCCUUCCAACGGCGACAACGGCGAGUCGAGCGGCUCGACGACAAACAAUGGAGGCUCGCUGCGUGCCAUGUACUACGCCCCGACCCAAAUCCUCGGCACGGCCCUGUUCGAGCGCCUGGCGUCGCCAUCGGCGGAUGCGGUGCGAGUCGUGCCGCAGAGUGAGUGGUGCACAAACGAUGCGGCGGCUGUCUUCACCAUUGCCGUGGCCUCGGGGUCGUCCUCUAGCCUGAGCAGCGGCAGCGGCAGCGUCGAAGCGGUGUUCUUCGCACCACUGCAGGGCGCGUACAAGGUGUGCUACCGCUUCGGCACAAGCACAAACUGGAGUCCAGCGUGCACCGAUCUAAGUGUGACGGACCCCAGCCCGACUGGGGCGACGACGGGGUGCUGGAAUGUGGGGCAGACGAUGAACAUGACGGCGACGCACGUGAUCCGCGACUACGUCUUUACGGCGUCGGAUCACUUGCGGUUGGUGCAAGGCGCGUUGCCGUGUCGCCACUCGAACGGCUCGCUGACGGUGUCCUCGGAGACGGUGACGGUAGGUGACGCGGUGCAGCCGGCAUAUGGCAUUCUGCUCUCUGAUGUGGUGGCGGGGCAGACGACCUACAUGAUGCCGCCCGCCUUCUUCCGCACUGGCACGAGAGACGUGCGGCUGUGCUACACCGACGCUUCGGGUAACCAGUUUACGGUUCCCUUGGACUUCGUUGGUGACCCAGGCAAGUCGCUCUUUCCUGUCCAGGCCCGCCAGCCGAGCAGCAUCGUCUUUCCGCAGCGUUACAUUCAGGUUGGGCAGCGCAUGUUCAUGAACUUCACCUCCGCCAGCUCUUCUGUGACGCCUCCGCUACACCCGUACGCCGCGCUGCCGCAGCUCUACACGCCGGGCCCCGCCUUCAACGGCACCUUUGACGGUGCGACACUGCUAGCAGUGUCGAGCAGCACCGCUUACAUCGAUGGCCGGUGCGCUGCUGCGCUGCGUGCCGGCACCCUCACCAACACCUCGUUCUUAGGUGUCUACGGCUCGGCGGCGCAGAGCGGAGAAAGCUACGUCCCGUACACCAUCGGUAACUACGACCCGACAGUGGCACAGCACUACAUUGCAUGCUACCAGCUCGCAACGUGCGGCGUGGUCGACAGCGGCGACCCGUUCCGGGUGCACAACGUGAACCCGUCCAGCGUCUACACAGACGUCUCGACGCCACGGCGGGGGCAGCUGAUCGAGGUGGUGUUUACGCGAGACACGGCGCCGUCCGCGGUCGCGCUUUCGCCUGGCAGCGAUCGCGGCAUCAAGCAGACCGAUCUUGCCUCCUGCUGGACCCUCACCGACAUCUCUGGACAACUGGUGCAAGGCACCUCAGACCUGACGCACUUCACGUCUAUCUUCUACGCCCAGGCGCCAGAACUCGCCUCGACGACAGCCACGCGUAGCUGCUACAAGCUGAGCGAGGGCAGCUGGUCAGAAGUGCCGAACGGCGUGACAAGCGUACUUGCUGCCAACCCAAAGAAUUUUGCGACUCAUCCAGCCUCGGCGCGGGUGAACCAGGUGAACUACAUCCAGUUCUACGGCACGGGCUUAGGCAGCAACGACCGGGUCAAACUCAUCACGCGCUCGCUGAACUGCAGCGAGGACUCGGUGCCGCCGUCGUCGCUCGCAGCCUACAAGGCGACCGAGCCAAACAGCGCCACCGCCGGCACUUCUGAGGGAUGGAAGGUGACGGAGGUGAGCAGCGACGGUUUGACGGCGAGGCUGAACUUCACGUCCAGCUCGACCGGCACGUUGAGCGUGUGCUACCGGCUUGAUGCAGAUACAGUGUGGACGCUGGUGUACGGCGACCUCAUCAUCUACGAGCGCAACCCGCCCGUCGUCACGCGCACGCCGGUCACUACGCUCGAGGGCGAACUCUUCACGCUGAACUUCACGGGGUCCACCGAGGGUAUCUCGGACCUUUCCUCUGAUGAUCGCGUGGUGCUGUACUACGGCUCAGCAGUCAACUGUGUCGCCCCGACAACGGAUGAGACGGCGCCGUCGGUCACCGCCUCCCCGUCGCGCACGGACAUGCUGCCACAGUCGAUCGCGUACCAACUGGACAUGGGCACGCGCGGCAACUACACCCUCUGCUACAAGGUCUCCGCCUCGAACGUGCCAGGUGGGUACGUGGUGGUUUGGGGCUACGAUGUCGUGGUGGUCGCGCCAAACCCGCAGAAUAUGACGCUGUACCCGGUCCGUGCGUCGAGCGUGCACCGGCCAAACGAACUGCUGACGCACGUGUUCGCUGGAUGGGCGCUUGCGGCGACGACUGAAAAGAUGGAUUCGGUGAAGCUAAUCGAGGCGAGUGCGAGCGGUAGUACCACCGACACGAUGUGUCAGAAGAACUCGGCGGCAGCGGCGAUCACGUACUACUCCCUCUACGCGAACGGCACGCAUGCAGAGCAGGUGUGGCGAGCGUCGCCCGCCGGCAUGCAUGUUCCGUUCUCGGUGUGCUACAAGCUGUACGGUGGGCAGUAUCACGUCAUUGGAGACACGCUCACCAUCACCGGGACGGCGAGCCCGAGCGGGGCCACGUCGGCGAAGCUCAGCGGUAGCAGUACAACGAUCUCAUCUGGCGAGUCCAUGUCGUGGACGCUGGUCGGUGCCGACGCGCAGUCCUGCGCCGAUAAUGAAGCCCUGAUCUUCUUCAGCGCCAACGGCUGCCACAACGCGCCCUACUACGUGAAUAUGUCGGCGAUUCUGUCGUCGAGCGCGUCGAUCGCGAUCACCUUCCCAGCUGGGGCGGUCGUCGUGUCGAACUGUAGCGGUAUGACGCAGCUGCGCGUGCCGUGGACGUACCCGUUUGAUGCCGGCUCGGUGAGCGCCGCGGCAUCGUCUCGGACGGCUCUCCUUUCCCUGUGCUACUGGAGCACUGGCAACGACGCCGUCUCGGUGCUGUCGAGCGACGCUAUCACCCUCAGCCAAGGUGUGCCGCCGCCGCUCGACAUGACGCUGUCCGUGACGGCCCAGGAGGUAUUCAGCUUCGACCUUUCCGUGUCGCCAGCGACAACAGACUGGGUCGUGCUGGUGGCAGACCCCUCAAGCUGCGUCGGCGUCAGCGCCCCUGCCGACGACGCGGACUUUACGGACCUGAACUUUAGUGAGACCACGGGCGUGGCCACCGUCACAGCAGCCGUUCCUGGCGCAGGGAUGUACUACGUGUGCUACUCACACCAGGUCGGGGUGUGUGGCGCAAGCACGGGGCGUGAGUGUGCGCGUGUGGUGGCGCAGGUGGAAGCAAGGGCUGCCAGCCCACAAAGGUGGAGCGGCCAGCCGACGCCGGUGUACGUGUCGAGCUCGUUGGUCAUCACGUUAGACUUUGCCAGUAACGGUGAUGCGUCAGCGCAAGGGACAACGGCGUCGGCGUGGCUGGCCGUCAUGGCAGCUGAGAAGCUGCCGCACACCAUGCGGGACGUGUGGGUAGCGUGCGUGCAAUCGCAGACGAUGAAGUCACUUCGGUACGGCUUGACGUACAGCAGCGCGAGUGGCAUGUGGAACACCGAUCACAUUCUGGUGCGAUCUGGACCGUACGCCCUGUGCUACACCGCGCAGAGCACAGUAGAGGCGGCCCUGCAUCUUUUCGGUCCAGUCAGCAACGCUGGCCCAGUGGUGCUGGCGAGCACCGUGGCCGGCGUCGAUCUGCCACCCUCAAUGGCAGUAACGAACGUAAACACGGUGGUGCUCACGGGCGGUGGCUUGUCAACGACGGACGUGGUGAUGGCAGUGGCACUCCCCUCCUCGAGCGAGUCAGGAUCGGCGUCAGCCGCGACGGAGGUGCCGAGCGACAUCUGUACAAACGAAGCCUACAAGCCUCGCGUGAACUCGACGAACCCGAGCCCGGCGAAGAGCACGGGCAUGACAUCGAUGCUGCGAGAGCUAGUCUUUACGACGACGGGCGACUACGUGCUGUGCUACACCGCGACCUACGGCCUCACAACGAGCGACAGCGACGCUAGCAGCGACAGUGAGUCCGUGACGGGGACCCCCGUUCUGAUCACCCCGAAAGCCUUCACGGUGUCGCCAAGCGUGAUCAGCAUGACUGUCACGAGUUUAGUCCUCGAGGUGGGUGUUGAGCUGCACAUUGUCUUCACCGGCAGCGGGCUGAUGGUGUCGGACAUGGCUGCACUGGCGUACGUGGGAAGCAUCGAGGGCUCGCCGACGGUGCCGACCGUGUGCCUCGGCACUAGUGUCAUCUACGAAAACAUGGUGUCCGUCAACGCAGACGGUACCAACGCCAACUACAAAACGACACCGGUGAAGCAGGGUGUCCACAUGGUGUGCUUCCGCAAGUCCUUGUCGACCACCCCCAUCCUCAUCCCGACCCGGCUGUACAUUGGGGUGCGGACAGCCGUACAAGCUGUCUUCACGGUGCAGCCAGGAGGAUGUACAGCCCUGCUGGUAUGCACAGUGCAGCCCACAAUCACGCUGCUCAACGCUUCGGGUUUGGCCACGUCGGCGCCGCACAGCUCUGUGAACAUGCUGCUGUAUCUCAGCGACGGCACCACUCCCGCGCCAGCCGGCCAACUGUCUGGUGGCACCGUCUACUCGCACGUGAACUUCACCAACUUCACGUUCUGGGCGCUGCGAGUGUCGACCGCAGGAAGCUACGUCAUGAAGGCGUCUGUGACGCUGCCGGGCGGGGACACGCUGGCGGCGACGUCGAGCGCGCUCAAGGUGGCCGGGGGCGGCGAGCCGGUCGUGGACGUGGCGGAAGUUUCGUGCCUUCCCGUAGGCAUCCUGGACCGCACGGUCGGGUCUACGACGGACACGGUUGACUGCCUAAUUACGGCCUUGACGAGUGAUGCGCCGAACAACUUUACGGUGUUGGUGAACGCUGGCAUGGUGAGUAUGGUGACGCGGAACGGCACCACGAGCAGCGGACUCUCGACGUACAACUUUACCGUCACCGCACCGGCAACGUCAUCGUCGGCGACGGGAAUCGUGAACUACAUGUCGAUUUUAGUCACACCCAUACCGCCAUACGAGACCUUGCCGGUGCAGAACUCUCCCCUGACGGUGCGGCUGGCAACGUCGCCGAGUGCGCUGACGGCGAUCGGCUGCAGCGCCGGUACAUCGCAGCUUCCGCUGUCGAACAUGGUGCGCGUCGGUGGGACGCUGAUGUGCUACGUGCAGGGCAUCGCGAAGAUUCAUGGCCAAGCACGCGAGAUUGUGGCGCGUCCGGAGGAUCUGAAAGUGAGCAACUACUACAACGGCGACGUGAGCACGAGCGCGGCGGUGAGCCUCGGCGCCUACCCGUUGGACGUCAACGGCCGCUACAACUUCACGGUGGCACCAACGACUGGCCUGAACAUUUCCGUCGCCGGCACCGUCUUUGCCAAGGAUGACGCCGACAGCCCAAGUAGCGGCGCCACGUCGGCCUGGGCGGCAAUGGCCAAUAGCCCACAGUCGUUUGUCCUGAUCGGCGUGCCAACCGCUGCUGCUUCAAGACUGAUGUGUACAUCAACGCGGACAGGGUCGAUGACGUGGUACACGCCGACUGAACCGUUGCAGUGCACGGCCACACUGGCGAACGCGCAAGGACCAGUGAACGGCCUGCAGAGCGAGUACAGUGUGCUGCUACCAGACGGAGGCAGCGUGUCUGGCUUUGACGAGUCGGCGUGGGGUGUGAGUCUUGUCUGGAAACUUGCUGCGCCGCCGCCGCCGCCGUCGUCAUCGUCGUCGUUAGUGAGCUCGAUGAAGUCGGUGCAGCAGCAGCAGCAGCAGGCGUAUGCGGCGCGUGCUGUGAUAGACACCCUCGCUGCUGCAGUGCGGCGGGGCUUUAGUGUGCAGGUUCGCUACACGCCAUCCAUCAAGGUCAUCGCCACGUAUGCAGGUGACUUGGUGUAUGUAACGAGUGUUGUCAAGACGGUACCAAGGCUGAAGCAGGGGGCGACGGUGAGUGUAACCUUCGCGGGCAUUGGACUUGUGACGAUGCACCGCUACACGCUCGGGGCCAUCUCCAACUGCUCCAGCGUGCUGUCUGAGGCCAGCUCGAUGGAGGGCGGUGCGGCGGGUCAGCUCGUCCUCACCUUCGAGGUGCCGAGCUCCGUCUUUAUCAUCUGCUUCUCCCCGCAAGACGCGCGCACAGCGCUACAGCCGCUGCUGGCGACGCAGUGGACGCCGGAGUCAGGCGACCCCUCAAGCAGUCGGUGGACGAGGGACGAUUUGGUGUUGCUGAUCGUUGGCGUCGUUGUCUUGUUCAUUCUUGUGGUGCUGCUGGUGAUUCUACUGUGGUGCAUCUUCUGCGGCCACGAAGAGGACAGCGAGGACAACAUCGUGGAUGAGGAGCACCUCAUCAUGCACCACGCGCCGGCGAGAAUGACCACCAUCGCAUGCAAGGCCGGUGGUAGCGGACAGAACGUUUACAUGCCGCCGCGCGCGAACAACCGGUAUGUUCUCCGCAUUUCCAAUGAGUCGCUGCCCGCUGCAUUGCCGUCACCAGUGCCGCUGCCCAUUGUGACCUCCUCCACGUCGCCGCCGCCGCCGCCGCCGCCGCAGCAGCAGCAGCAGCAACCUUCGCCGCCGGUCGCGCCGCCACAGCAGCAGCACCCGCAACAACAUCCGAGCAGUAACACGCAGAUCCGCAUCAACAUACACGACGGUGACGGUGCAGGCAAUGCCUCGCCGCGCGCGCCACGGUCGCAAGCCACCACCCCUGCCGCGGCGACGUCGGUGACCUACGCUGGUGGCAGUGACAGCGCCCCCCCACCGGCAACCAUGCGAAAGCGCCACCACCAUCGCUCUCGUCGCAGCAGCAGCGCGAGCAGCGACCACCGGCCGCACCAACAGCAUCGGUCGAACUUCAAGUACGCUGAUGUCGACCGCGCUGCGCCGCGGCCGCGGCCGCCCUCGGACUCGAGCUCCUUCACGGGAACGAGCGCGACAGAAAUUCGGCAAUCUGUGCCGCCGCUGCCGCCACCGCCUCUGUCGUCCGUCACAACGCCGAGCACCACUGUGCCAGCGCCGUCAGCAAACUCUGGGUUGGUCGAGAGCCCUCGUCAGGCAGUCAGCACGCCGACAGCAGACAGUGUGCCGAAGAACUUGCCGCCACUGCCGCCCCCACCGCCGCCGACCAUUUCACUGGCGUCGGCGAUGGCUGCACAGGCGCCCUCACCCGGCCCCUACGAGCACCUGCAUCACACCACGUCGGGGAUGACCGUCCCUGGCACCGUAGAUGCGUUCGGCACGGGCCUUGGUAGCUUGGGCCCCUGCCGCAGUGACAAUGGCGCCACAGAGGUGUUGGAGCCUAUCAUCGUGCCAGGGCAUACAUCCAAGCCAAUGGUGCGUUCCGCAUCGUCGCCGCGGUAGUCUUGAGGAAAAGGCCGAUGCAGCACUGAUGCUCCCGCGUCGGCCUGCUGAUAUGGCGUCGAGGGCCCUUCUGUUUUCUGGCUUGCGCGUCGGCGCCAAGCAUCCGUUGUUAUUUGCUGCUCGAUCUCCCUCACUCGUACACGCAUAGACGCGCAUCGUGUCGGCCGCGCCUCCUAUGCGUCGGAGGUUCACAUAGAGCGUAUAGAAAGCCGUGAGGUUGGGGAGCCUUCGUGGCUCACUGUGCCACAGGUGAGGCGCGUAGAGAGGGAAGGCGGUGAUGCGUGCUUGUGCGUCUGCCCAUACCACUCCCGGUGUCGUAGGCUCCGUUGCCGCGGCUGCUCACGUCGUCGGUGUCGUCUAGGCAGGGCGGAGAAGAGGUAAGAGAAAGAGGGAGGGAUGUGUACGCACCGCACGCGGCACACCAGUGUGCACACCUCCUCCUUGCUCGGUGGGUGCGCAGCGGCACGCGCCAUCUCUUUUCUUGCGCAGUGGCUCAUCCACCUCCUCGGUGAUGGUGAUGGUGAUGCGGUUUUCAUUUCGAUGUAUCGAUGUGCGUCCUCGUCUCCUCCUCUUCGUCUUGGAGAGGAGGUGGUGUGUGUGUGUGUGUGUAUUCUUUAUGGGCGGUGGCCCCUCUGCUUCUGCGUGUUUGCCGUUGUUUCACGAAGUGCCGCGAAGCACAAGGGUAGGGGAGCUGCGCCGAGGGAAGGACUGGCGGAGGAGCACGCGAGACGAGCCGCGGCUCCUCGAAGGCGCCACCGUGUCGCUUUCCGUUUUAUUCGUUGCGGUGUGUUGUGUGUUCCCUUUCAUAGACGAAUCCUGUGUGGCGCUGAUGUUAUCUUUUGCUGUUUGCGGUGGUGGGUGGGAAAGUGGUUCGAUCCCCACCCCACCCCGCGCAGACGGCACGGCACCCCUCCCCCUCCUCUCCCGACCCUCUGGUUAAUCUUUAAUUCUUCUGUUGCCUUCGCGUGUGUGUAUGUGAUGUCUCCCUCUCUUUCUCUGUGUGUGUUUAAGGGGGAGGGGUGUCAGCUCAUCUCCGUUCGCCUGAUGCCGCAUGCCAUGUGCCCUCAUUGCACGUGCGUCAUCCAGAGUUUCUUUUCCUUCCAUGUAUCUCCUACUUGUGGUGGUGGUGUGCGCCUGAGUUGACGGACGGGUCUCGAUUUCCUGUACCUGCGUGUGUGUGUGUGUGUGUGUGUUGGUGUGUAUUCCUUUCUCUCUGCGUGCGCUUGUCGGCACCAACGUAAAGGUGAUGUGCGCGCGCGUGUGUUGACCGACGCCGCACGCUCAUGCCUCAAAGAUGUUACCGAAAACAACAGACGCGAAGGAAACAAGCAAACGCGUCCCACCCCCACCCCGGGGAGUGUCAUCCGCCAUCAACCAAAGACGGGCGGCGCCGGGGGCGGGUGACGCGUCCCUGGCCACACGCCGUUCGAUACGCCUUGCCGCGCGUCUAGUUUGACGAAGGCGCUUCUCCCCACCCCCCCCAUCGCGCCACCCGGCGCGUGCGUGCAACCACUUCCGUGGGCACCGGCGUUGACGUCGCGGCACUCGUCGCCCACGCCGUCCUCGUCACUUGUAUGGACUUUUUGCGUCUGAGCCCUUAGCAGGCACGUACACACACACACACACAUACACGCAUACGUCUCUUGCCCUCCCCUUCCUCCCUCUUGUUUCCUUCAUCAUUUCAUUCUUGGCAAUGCACGCGCACAG